AAAACCCUCCACUUGGCUGCUGGUGGGUGUUAAUAUCCCACCUUGUUCAUUAUACAGCCAACACAUUCUCACUCCCAACUCGUCAUAUACUGACGCUUGGUCAGGAACCCUCGGCGUAAGUUAUUGACGCACAGGGUACCCCUUUAGCGUCACAUUUAGACGUGCAGGGAUUCCCUAUAGAAUCUGUACCUGACCCUGAAGCGUCAUAGGGAGACGCUGGAGGCUCGUAUAAUUACCAAUAGAUGUCAACGCACUUUUUAAAACCUGAUUUACGCCUAUUAUCGCAGUUUUCUUCUUUUAAAAAUAUGUAAUUUUUAUUUUGUUCAUGAAAAGCGUCUGUAAACUGGGUCGAAACUACUGUAUGAAUAAACUUCGGUCCACGUGACAUCCCUUCACGUCUAUGCUCGCUAUCCCAAGGUUCAUUGCGAUCCCAAGGUUCACUGCGGUUUUCCACAAGAUGCAGAAACUUUUGACAUAUGAAUUCAUCUUGACUAAGGAACUCUUCACAGCACUGCACCUGAACAGUCACAACCUCACAGAGCUGCACAACUGCCCCACUCAGAUCAGUGUUGAAGCUGGAACCUCAUCUUGUGUACAGCAAAGGCAGAGCUGAAAAUUCACUGUCUGUCUUGUAUUGUGUGUGGCAAAACCUGGAAUAACACCUGGGAGCCCUCCAGGAAUUCCUGACACUUUACGCCCAAGUCUCCUCAUGCUAACCGGGUUGCAAUAUGACAGUCUAGUCAGCAUAAACACCUGGACUCACCAAGCACACUUUGGUUCUCAGUGUUUUGUAAAAAUUGUUUUUGCUAUUCUUCAGUAAAUACUUGAAUAUGUUUUGAACUUAUUCUACUUUUGAUGUUUAAGUUCAGAAAGUUGUUAUUAUAAACAUAAUUUGCAUUUGUCAUGAACUUGACUUCUUGUUGUUGUGAAAGCUGUUUAUUAUAAUGGCAUUUCCAAAGGCAUCAUUUGAAAAGAUUUUUUGCAGUGCAGUUUUACUUGAGCUUGACAUACCAGAUGUAUGACAUGAAUAAAUAUCACAAAAUAAAUAUAAUAAUGAUAAUACAAAAUAUAAAUUUCCUUCAAUUAUAAUUGUUUUUAAUCAUUUAUAUAUGUAUGGUAAUAUAUUAUUGCAUUAAAAACUGUUAUAAAUAUAUAUAUUUUUGGUUUUUGCAUGUUUGCGUGAUUUUUUUUUUUUGUGGCAUUAUAAAUAAAUUCUAAAUGUUUCAUUAAAAAUGUAUU
This 1239-nucleotide long non-coding RNA is filed under the name Danio rerio (zebrafish). RNAcentral's name for it is "lncRNA (ENSDARG00000117265.1)". The record is from RNAcentral. Lineage: Eukaryota; Metazoa; Chordata; Actinopteri; Cypriniformes; Danionidae.